RNA transcript from Osmia lignaria (orchard mason bee), 3910 nucleotides. It is a transcript of the gene named exosome complex component Rrp46, with no coding region annotated. Lineage: Eukaryota; Metazoa; Arthropoda; Insecta; Hymenoptera; Megachilidae. The record is from RefSeq and is a predicted model, not a curated record.
CAGAAAAAUCGAGGAACUAAAUUUGUGAUCUAUUUUACCUUUUUGACGUCUUUCGCGACUGAAAAAUUAACGAAAUCGUAGUUCUCACUAUUUUUCUAAACGAAAGCUUUGUACACCAUCCUCUGAGUGCUCGUUUUACUUUCUCCGACCCAAAGAAUAACGCUGUAGUCUCUAUUUGGACAUACUUAACCGUGGCACCGACCGUGGACAGACCCCAAUUUCAAUAUUUGAUAACUUUUUGACGAUUUGGAUAAAAUAAGGACCAGAACGCCAUUCUUUAGGGCCUCCUGAACAUGUCCCCCAAAUUUCUUUGCAAUCUGUUCAGUAGAAACGAAGAAAGGAGUGUUCUCGUUUCUAGGGAUUAUUCUAGGGACUGUCGGUAAAGUUUUCAGCGACGCUAGUUGAAAAACAAUCAUGAGUGAAGACGCUAAAGAAAACGAAUUCGUAUUGCGACCCAUAAAUUGCGAAUUAAAUCAACUUUCUAUGCCGGAUGGGUCGGCAAUGUUAAUGCAAGGAGAUACUGCAGUGGUUGCUGGUGUUUAUGGACCAGUGGAACCAAAACCUCAAAAAAUGAUCUAUGACAAAGCAUUUGUGGAGGUAUCUUAUACUCCUAUAAAAGGACCUGCUAAGGUGGAUGAUAGGAUGACAGAAAUGUAUAUAAAAGAAACUUGCGAAGCUGCAAUAAUUGUGACCUUCCAUCCAGCCACAGCUAUAUGUAUCAACAUACAAGAAGUAGAGGAUUCUGGUGGGUUGUUAGCUUGCAUAAUCAAUGCAGCCUGCCUGGCGCUUAUUAACGCUGCAGUUCCAAUGAAAUUCACUAUUGCAGCAGUCUGUUGCAUGAUACAGGAAAAUACUGAUAACAUUAUAUUAGAUCCUAACAACAAUCAAUUAGAGGAUGCUAGAGCAGAGUUCACUUAUGCAUUCGAUAGCAUGAACAAAGACGUCAUAUGCUGUCACACUGUGGGUCAAUUCACGGAGGCGGAGUUCUUCGAAACGAUGGAUAAAUGCAAACAGAAGGAUCAUCAGCUCGUACCUUUCGCUAGCUACUGUCCAGCGAAAUACGAACGUGAUCAUAUGGAAAGGCGGGUCAAGAGGUGACCAGAUGAAGGCGAAGACAAUGUACGCCCCUGGCGCUGCUGGACAAAGACAUCACAACGCCCUGGACUAAUCAACUUGGUUUGUCGAUGAGCCUAUUUGUAAAGGUGCGAGGGUGCAGAGUAAGAGGACGUUACCAGGUUCGAUACGGCAGUGAACGUGACGAAUAAUGUUUGAAGGUAAGUUCGUCGCAAUGGAGAAUUUAUUGCGGUCAAAUAUUGGCGUGAAAUUCCGAAGGUUGCGGCCCAUCGUUGACACCCCCGUAAAUUAUAAAUAUGCACGGGUAACCGAUAAAUCCCAUACGCCAUGCAUCGAAACCAGUUCGACGACUGUUAUAACACGUAUCGAUCCUCCUACCCUUCUAGUCGUUUACUCGAUGAAUCGGCCAGAUCCUUUGAAUUAAAGCACGGAACAGAUACUCCUUUUAAUCUGAAAAAAUCCUUGAAAUAUCGUCGUGGAUAAGUUGAAACGUCUCCAUUCGUGAGUACAAUACAAGCAGCUUUCACGAUUCGUCCGACAAAAGUGUCUCACGCAAAAUCGAGGCGACUGGUUUGCUUCCCCCUAUCCACCCCUGCUCGCCCAUUUUCUUUAUUACAUUCCUUAUUUCCUAUCCACCAGUCUCUGUAACUGUAAUACAAAUUCCUAUUGUGAUUUAUGUUGAUAUCAAUGGCAACCCCUCGGUGUCGUCCCGUCCGCUCGCUUCCUCCCUUCCACUCGCGCGAAACGACACCCUCCGCUCACCCUUCGUCCAGAUAUUAUGCUUUAUUGAAUCAGACUUGUCACUGUUAUUGUUGGCUCCGGCUUCUUCGACUCGUUCGUUUCACGGCUGCCACUGCGGAUCCGGGGGUGAAACCAACCGACGACAGGGUCUCUCUAUGAAUUUUAUUAAUAAAACAACAUUGCCGCCCAGCUUCGACAAUGAAGCGACUGACAGCCUCUAGCCGCUCUUAACGCUUGUAUCUCUGUUCAGAGCGGACGAGCGUGGAAAAUUCGCGCGUUUCAAAUCCCUCAACCCCUUGCGGAGAAAGGAAGCGGCAUCCCGGCGUCGGAUUCCGGUUUUCUAAAGCGGGACGCGCAAAGUCAACCCGCUACUUAUCGUCGCGGAGGGUGGAGUAGCUUUGUGUCUCGGUUUCAAGAAGCGAACGCUUUGUCCACGAGACGGGGCACGGUUAACUCGACGCCGAUAGCGCGAGAGCAACCGCGCCACUUGACUGUCUACCGUUCCGGGGGUGAAUUGUUCCGCAGAAGGGUGGCGAAUAAUGUUUUUUGUUCGACGCUCGAACGGCUAUGAGCUGGAAAAUUGAGCGCUUGUUUGCGAAUGUUUUGAUGUCUUUUGACGUUUGCUGAUCGAAUUUCGUUUACAUGUUUUCUCAUAUUAUAACCUGAAUUUUAAUUGAUAUUUAUAAAUUAAUAUCUUCAAAGCCUGGUAUUUUUAUCUUUUGAUUAUUUGACCGAAUGAAGCUCGUACUCUUUGAAAGUAAAUCAACGAUCAUGCACGUGCCAUUUGAAGCACGAAAUUCAGUGGCUCCAGAAAUAGAAGUCCGUGAACCAUUUACCUGCCCAGUCAUCAACCAUCCGCACAUUUCGCUUCUCUGAAUGGAUCUAAGAACCAAUACUCCCAUUAACGGUCGAUUGAAGAGCCGUUCGUAGGCGAAAAACGUGAGAGUAUAGAGGAGGAGCAGAGAGAGGCGGAAAGGGAACACACGCGUGCGUUUACACAACGUAGCUACAACAGUGACUUGCGUCAGUGGGCCGCUAUAAACGUGAUUAAUGGUCGCAAGUCGUUUACCAUUCUGAUACUCUUGCUGCAGCCGGAACAACAAAGUGCUCCUUCACCCACUGUCGCUCUUUUCCCCUUUGUCGUCAUCGUUCUCCUCGUCUAUGAGUAUCUCUUCUCGUCGAACACACGGUAUUCUUUGUCAAAUAGAUACAAGAGGUGAAGUGUUCUUAUCGCUAGGGUAUAAUGAGUCAUUUGGAAAUAAGAAAAUUGUAAUUUUGAUAAUGAUUGAAUUAUCUAUAUUUCUUUAAUAAUACAUUGACAGUGACAAAAGAAAUAACUUAUUGCUAGGGUUUAAUGAAUAAUUUGGAAACAAAAAAUUCUAAUUUUGAUGACGGUUGAAUCAUCUAUAUUUCUUUGAUAAUAUAUUGACAGUGACAGAACAAGUGACUUUCAACCCCAUGCAGCCCGGUGGCAAGACGAACAUCCAUUUGGUAACGGAUGACAAGUGGCACGGUAUGCCCAUGAAGCAGUAUUCUCUCACGAAGGACAGCGCAAACAUUCUCGAUUUACACGUUAGCCAUUCCAUUUGGCUCGAAUCGGUUGGAAGCCAUUAAUAUUGGCCAGCGUGAAAGCAACUCGGGCUUCUGGCUCGCCAGUAAAGACAGCCAACCCUUUGCUCUCGAUUCCGUGAAACCGUCUAAGGGGGUAAACGUUUCUCCGACCUCUUUCAAUCCGUUCGUUUGCUUCUAUCAUCCAUCCUGAACACCCUCGAAAUCAAUAAAUACAUAUUUGUUCGACACACAUCAAUGACACUAAUACCAUUAAUCCAGGGCUGACGCAGCAAGCGUAUAGAGGCGGAUCGUGUUCGUCGACGAAAGAAGCCGCAAAGGGUGUAUUCGUGGAAGAUAGAGGAGGCAGGAACAAGAUAAAGUUACUAAUCCUUAACAUCACUACAUCCUUAUAUCACUACAUUCCCUAUAUUCCUGCAUCUCGUAUAUUCCGGCAUUCCUUUUACCUCGGCAUCCCUUACCUUCUUGCAUCCCUUACAUCUCUGUACCCUUUAUAUCUCUGUAUCCCUUACACUCCUGAAUUCUC